This is a long non-coding RNA of Lycium barbarum (goji berry), 2020 nucleotides long. RefSeq lists it as uncharacterized. NCBI's taxonomy places the organism in Eukaryota, Viridiplantae, Streptophyta, Magnoliopsida, Solanales, Solanaceae. The record is from RefSeq and is a predicted model, not a curated record. The transcript is spliced from 2 exons.
CCCACUUGCCAAGCAUAAAGCAUACUGCGUUAUCAAAUAUCUCAACCUAGACAUGGAGUUAGCAGGUAAGAGGAGGAUGUUGCAGCUAUGUUGCGGUUGCAUGAACCUGAUGAAUUUCAACUGCAGGCCUACAAAAAUGUUAAAUUGUACAAGGAGACAAAAAGAUGGCAUGAUAGACACAUCCAGGAGAGUUCCUUUGAGCCUAGCCAGUUGGUAUUGUCAUUCAAUUCGAGACUUAAGCUAAUCCCUGGAAAGUUAAAGUCUAAAUGGUCAGGGCCCUUUGAGGUUCUGAGGAUGACAAGGCAUGGAGCUGUUGAACUAUGAACGGCCAGAUUCAAGGGAACUUUCUUGAUGAAUGGACAGAGUGAAGCACUAUCGGGCUGAAGACAUGGACAGACACAAGACCUUAGUUGAGCUGUCCAAUAACUAUUGGUGGUGACGUCGAGCCACGACAUAAACUAAGACACUUCUUGGGAGGUAACUCAUGCCUGCAUCAUGACGCGAUGUUAAAUCAAGAGCUGCUGAGGAGGCAACCCGAGGAUUGUAAUAGGAAAAACACAAAAAAACAGAGACCAAAAUCAGAAAAAAUACAAAAAGAUGUCGUGUCAUGGCCUAAACUAAGGCACUUGUUGGGAGGCAACCCAACCUUUUAAUUGUUGUUCGUAGUUUUGAUUUUUGUUCAGGCUAACCGACCGUGUUGAGGGUGUAUUGAGCAUGGUACAAUGCUAAAACGGAGUCACGGGAGAAAAGGACACAAGAUAGGACGAAAUUAGACUAAGGCAUGGGUUGCAUGAGCAACUUGCCGAGCGAGGGCCAAAGCAAGAGGCAACCUCGCUUUGGAGCUCGCUGAGGGAAGCCCAUAAUAAGGUCUUGCCUCUCUUUGGAGCUCACCUCGAGCAAGGUAAGUCGCCCAAAAAUUUCUUUUUGUCACGUGGGUCAACCCGACCUGCUCCCCUAUUCCACAAUUUAAAUCCACUCCCUAAACCCCUAUUUCACUCGUCCCACAUACACCCACCUCUCCAUUCUCUCUCUCAAACCACCUCAGACACCUCUCCAUUGCACUGAGCUCCAAAUUAUAUUUCGAUUAAAUCUUUAGAUUAGUACCAUGAUUUCGGAAUCAUAGAAACAAGAAUCAUUAAAUUCUGAAAGAGUAUAAUUAUUUCAGCAUAGGAUUUUAUUGUUGGGUUUGACUAGUCUGGUGCCCAGCAAUUGUGAAGUUAGGUCCGUAGUUGCGAUGCCGCAAAUGUGACAAAAUGUCCACAAAAGUGAACUUUCAGCAAUUGCGAUGACCCUAGUGUAUCAAAGUUGGUAGAUUUUGUGAUUUGGUUUUUUCAGUAUUUUGAGAGAUGGGAGCUUGGAUUGAGGAAAUUUUCAAAGCGAUUUAUUUGUACAAACGUUGGGAUAUGAUUUGAUAAAAAGCUAACUAUUUAAUGCAAAAAGAGAUGAACAAAUGGCUUUGAAGUCUCCAUAGAAGUCAUUCCCUAGUAUUCGGAUCGAGCUACGGAAUCGACGGCCAAGUACCCAUAAAAAGAAGUUGAAAAUGGCGUUUCACAAAAAAUGACUUGGCGUGACAACAUGGUUUGGGACCCUGUGCACUGCACGUGCGCAAUUAUCAACAAAAUCUACAGAUUUUUUACUCUCUCAAUAUUUGGCUUGAUGUGUCGUUCACCCUAAUACCCUGUGCGGCCCACCUAUGUAAUUUUUUGUCAAUCCAGGUCAGUUUUGUACUAGACGAAGUAUUUCGGCCAAGGUUAAUUUUCCACACUAUAAAUAUAUCUUAAACACAUUUUUGAGAGGAGAUUCAAACUUUGGAUAGAAGAACAUCACAAGGAUGUCUAGAGCAUCACGGAGUGGAGAUUCGCGCAAUUUAUCUUUACUUUUUUCUAGUUUUAUGGUUGAAUGAUUAUGAAUUUGUAGUCGUCACGAACAUGAGUGACUAUUUUAAUAUCAUUCUAGGGUUGAAGAAUUAUCCGUGAACAUUGUAAUUGGAAACUUUAUGUUAGAUUAUUUUUUAUUGUCA